GACGAACGCUGGCGGCGUGCUUAACACAUGCAAGUCGAACGGAAAGGCCCUGCUUUUGUGGGGUGCUCGAGUGGCGAACGGGUGAGUAACAUGUGAGUAACCUGCCCUUGACUUUGGGAUAACUUCAGGAAACUGGGGCUAAUACCGGAUAGGAGCUCGUGCUGCAUGGUGGGGGUUGGAAAGUUUCGGCGGUGGGGGAUGGACUCGCGGCUUAUCAGCUUGUUGGUGGGGUAGUGGCUUACCAAGGCUUUGACGGGUGGCCGGCCCGAGAGGGUGACCGGCCACCUUGGGACUGAGCUACGGCCCAGAGUCCUACGGGAGGCAGCAGUGGGGAAUAUUGCACAAUGGGCGGAAGCCUGAUGCAGCAACGCCGCGUGCGGGAUGACGGCCUUCGGGUUGUAAACCGCUUUCGCCUGUGACGAAGCGUGAGUGACGGUAAUGGGUAAAGAAGCACCGGCUAACUACGUG
Molecule: ribosomal RNA, 468 nt
Filed under: uncultured bacterium
Lineage: Bacteria
Description: partial 16S ribosomal RNA
Rfam family: Bacterial small subunit ribosomal RNA
Source: RNAcentral